GAUGAACGCUGGCGGCGUGCCUAAUACAUGCAAGUCGAGCGAACAGACGAGGAGCUUACUCCUCUGACGUUAGCGGCGGACGGGUGAGUAACACGUGGAUAACCUACCUAUAAGACUGGGAUAACUUCGGGAAACCGGAGCUAAUACCGGAUAAUAUAUUGAACCGCAUGGUUCAAUAGUGAAAGACGGUUUUGCUGUCACUUAUAGAUGGAUCCGCGCCGCAUUAGCUAGUUGGUAAGGUAACGGCUUACCAAGGCGACGAUGCGUAGCCGACCUGAGAGGGUGAUCGGCCACACUGGAACUGAGACACGGUCCAGACUCCUACGGGAGGCAGCAGUAGGGAAUCUUCCGCAAUGGGCGAAAGCCUGAUGGAGCAACGCCGCGUGAGUGAUGAAGGUCUUCGGAUCGUAAAACUCUGUUAUUAGGGAAGAACAAAUGUGUAAGUAACUAUGCACGUCUUGACGGUACCUAAUCAGAAAGCCACGGCUAACUACGUG
Molecule: ribosomal RNA, 497 nt
Filed under: uncultured bacterium
Lineage: Bacteria
Description: partial 16S ribosomal RNA
Rfam family: Bacterial small subunit ribosomal RNA
Source: RNAcentral